AUAACCUCAGUGCAUAAUAUGUUUGUGCCAUUUUGUCCCAGACGAAUUACAAUAACAAUAAUGCAUAAACAAGCUUCAAGGCUAUGCUACGACUCUUGCAGUACACAAUAUACUGUGGUAACCCCAAGUUAAUGGAACUUCCCCAAAUCCUGGAAUCUCCCACGACUGUACACUUACGACUUAGUAUAAACAACAGAUAACCUAUUCAGACUUUAAGAUGCCAUCUUGAACUAAGUCAGAAAAAUUUCCAUGACAUAUGCACCCUUUAGUUAUGGCCUUGUAUGUUUGCCAAAUUAAGGGAGGUCCUAAAAUGAAUAAAGUAAAUGAACAACAGUAACCCUAAAAUGGAGACACCUAAGGUAUAAAUAGGUGUACUUUUAAAUGUUAAGACACAGAGGAGAGACUUGGAGACAGACGCUGCUCCAUCUUAAAAUGACAGAGAGGC
Non-coding RNA from Pelobates cultripes (western spadefoot toad), 445 nucleotides. The record is from the annotation of a GenBank genome assembly. Lineage: Eukaryota; Metazoa; Chordata; Amphibia; Anura; Pelobatidae.